CUUCAAUUUCUCCCUCUCUCUCCAUCGGCGGGUCCCUCAUCAAAGUUUCAGCUGCCACCGCCCGCAUUCAACAAUUAGAGAUUCACUCAAAUGUCAAUGACAAGGAGAUGUUGAUAAUUGUGAAAAGAGACUGCAACACGCUAGUUGUAAACAACAGUUGUAGUAACAAGUGAAACUGUGUUACAUUCUUAAAUAUUUCCUGGCCAGGUUACAAAAAUCUCCAACAUAAGAUUUCAAAUGAAUACUGACCACCUGCCAUGUCAUCUCCAUCCCUUUCUCUCUCUCCUACAUGGCAAAAAAGCCCAGGUUUAA
Populus euphratica (Euphrates poplar) is the source of this 312-nucleotide long non-coding RNA. RefSeq lists it as uncharacterized. The transcript is spliced from 2 exons. Lineage: Eukaryota; Viridiplantae; Streptophyta; Magnoliopsida; Malpighiales; Salicaceae. The record is from RefSeq and is a predicted model, not a curated record.